RNAcentral lists this long non-coding RNA (2048 nucleotides) under Arabidopsis lyrata. RNAcentral's name for it is "long non-coding RNA (ALYR_LNC002962)". The record is from RNAcentral. Lineage: Eukaryota; Viridiplantae; Streptophyta; Magnoliopsida; Brassicales; Brassicaceae.
UAUUCAGAGCAAGUGAUGAAUUUGGGUGAAUUUCUCUUUACGCUUUUAUCAGAAGCUCUAGGGUUGAACCCUAAUCACCUCAAUGACAUGGAUUGCUCUAAGGGUUUGGUCAUGCUUUGCCAUUACUACCCACCAUGUCCAGAGCCUGACCUAACUUUAGGCACAAGUCAGCACGCCGACAAUACUUUUCUUACCGUUCUUCUUCCAGAUCAGAUCGAAGGGCUUCAGGUUCUUCGUGAAGGGUAUUGGUUCAAUGUUCCUCAUGUUCCCGGAGCUCUAAUCAUCAACAUUGGAGAUCUUCUACAGGCAAGUUUGCACAACCAAUACAUUUUUGCUCUGUUUUGCACAAGUAUAAAUCUUCCUCUUGGUUCAAAGAUUUUUUAUUGGGAUUUUGAUGCAGCUUGUAACAAACGACAAGUUCAUCAGUUUGGAGCACAGAGUAUUGGCGAACAGAGCCACAAGAGCUCGAGUCUCUGUAGCAGGUUUCUUCACCACCGCCAUGAGACCGAAUCCUACACUGUACGGACCCAUUAGAGAGCUUGUGUCUGAAGACAACCCUCCAAAGUACAGAGAGACCACUAUUAGAGACUACACUGUUCACUUCAGUGCCAAAGGACUUGACGGAACCUCUGCUUUGCUCCAUUUUAAAAUAUGAAACAUGGCCAGCUAGCUUCUACUUUAUCACACAUAUAUGACAUGAUAUAUAUAUGUAACAUGUUGGAUAUGUGUGAACCACAUGCAUGUGGAAUUUAUGAAAUAAAGAUUGUUAUUUCGGUUUAGUCCAAAUAAGGUGUGAUUGGUUAUGGUGGUUAAAAGAUAUGUUUCUUUGUAGCUAUGAUUAAACUAUUACAGAGUAUGCAAAGUUCUACAGAUCCAAAGGAUUCGAUGGUACCUCUGGAUUACUUUAUCUCAAGAUCUGAGAAUGCCAUAUACUGUAUCAUUUUGUCUAACAGAUGCGUGAGACUAAUUUGAUUUUUUUCUUUUCUGUAAUAACCUCUUGUUAAUUACUUAAGUCUGCUCCAGUCACUGUCACAAGCGGUUGUUUUUGUCAAGCAACCUUAUCUCUAAUCAAUGGUUUUGCUGUAUCAACUGGUCCAAUCUUUGAACUUAAGAAAAAAGUUUCUUUCUUGUUUUUAUGGAUUCUUAAGUUAUGUGGGAUUGUAUCAUAUUGUUCUGUUUUUCGAGAAACUAAAACUAUGGAGACGACGAAGAUUGCUUCUUCAUUCGAUCGUGCCGGUGAGCUUAAAGCUUUCGAUGAAACGAAAACGGGUGUGAAAGGACUCGUUGACGCAGGAGUUUCACAAAUUCCGCGCAUCUUUCAUCAUCCAUCUGUCAAAUUAUCAAACCAUAAACCACUUUCCUCAGACUUGGUACAUCUCAAGACGAUCCCAACGAUUGAUCUAGGAGGAAGGAUCGUUGAGGACACGAGCAAGCGCAAGAACGCGAUUGAAGGGAUUAAAGAAGCAGCAGAGAAGUGGGGUUUCUUCCAGGUGAUCAACCAUGGAGUUUCGCUUGAUCUUCUUGAGAAGAUGAAAGAUGGAGUUCGUGACUUUCACGAGCAAUCCCCUGAAGUGAGGAAAGAAUUCUAUAGUCGCGAUUUCAGCAGAAGGUUUCUGUAUUCAAGUAAUUUCGAUCUCUUCAGUUCUCCAGCUGCAAAUUGGAGAGACACUUUCUCUUGUACUAUGGCUCCAGAUACUCCAAAACCACAGGAUCUUCCGGAGAUUUGUAGGUAUGACUCCAUUGCCCUAACUUGAUUUCAUGUGUACUCUUUGUUCAUAUGGUGAAUCACUAAAUUGUUUCAGGGAUGUUAUGAUGGAAUACUCAAAGCAAGUGAUGAUUUUGGGUAAAUUUCUCUUUGAGCUUUUAUCAGAAGCUCUAGGGUUGGAACCUAAUCACCUCAAUAACAUAGAUUGCUCCAAGGGUUUGCUCAUGCUCUCCCAUUACUACCCACCGUGUCCAGAGCCUGACCUAACUUUUGGCACAAGUCAGCACUCUGACAACUCUUUCCUUACCGUCCUUCUCCCCGAUCAGAUCGAAGGGCUUCAGGU